Molecule: ribosomal RNA, 486 nt
Filed under: uncultured bacterium
Lineage: Bacteria
Description: bacterial SSU rRNA
Rfam family: Bacterial small subunit ribosomal RNA
Source: RNAcentral
ACUCAAAGGAAUUGACGGGUCCCCGCACAAGCAGCGGAGCGUGUGGUUUAAUUCGAUGAUACACGAAAAACCUUACCCGGGUUUGACAUAUAAGUAGUAGGGAUCUGAAAAGUGACCGACCCUUCGGGGAGCUUAUACAGGUGCUGCAUGGCUGUCGUCAGCUCGUGCCGUGAGGUGUCCGGUUAAGUCCGGUAACGAGCGCAACCCCCACUGUAUGUUACAAGUGUCAUACGGAACUGCCGGUAUCAAGCCGGAGGAAGGUGGGGAUGACGUCAAGUCAGCAUGGCCUUUAUAUCCGGGGCUACACACACGCUACAAUGGCCAGUACAAUGGGUUUGCAAGACCGCGAGGUGGAGCCAAUCCUCAAAGCUGGUCUCAGUUCAGAUUGUAGGCUGCAACCCGCCUACAUGAAGUCGGAGUUGCUAGUAACCGCAGGCCAGCCAUACUGCGGUGAAUACGUUCUCGGGGAUUGUACACACCGCCCGU